Molecule: ribosomal RNA, 508 nt
Filed under: uncultured bacterium
Lineage: Bacteria
Description: partial 16S ribosomal RNA
Rfam family: Bacterial small subunit ribosomal RNA
Source: RNAcentral
GACGAACGCUGGCGGCGUGCCUAAUACAUGCAAGUCGAACGCUUCUUUCCUCCCGAGUGCUUGCACUCAAUUGGAAAGAGGAGUGGCGGACGGGUGAGUAACACGUGGGUAACCUACCCAUCAGAGGGGGAUAACACUUGGAAACAGGUGCUAAUACCGCAUAACAGUUUAUGCCGCAUGGCAUAAGAGUGAAAGGCGCUUUCGGGUGUCGCUGAUGGAUGGACCCGCGGUGCAUUAGCUAGUUGGUGAGGUAACGGCUCACCAAGGCCACGAUGCAUAGCCGACCUGAGAGGGUGAUCGGCCACACUGGGACUGAGACACGGCCCAGACUCCUACGGGAGGCAGCAGUAGGGAAUCUUCGGCAAUGGACGAAAAUCUGACCGAGCAACGCCGCGUGAGUGAAGAAGGUUUUCGGAUCGUAAAACUCUGUUGUUAGAGAAGAACAAGGACGUUAGUAACUGAACGUCCCCUGACGGUAUCUAACCAGAAAGCCACGGCUAACUACGUG